UUCUGGUUGAUCCUGCCAGACCUGACUGCUAUCGGAUUGAUACUAAGCCAUGCGAGUCAUUGUAGCAAUACAAGGCAUACGGCUCAGUAACGCGUAGUCAACCUAACCUAUGGACGGGAAUAACCUCGGGAAACUGAGAAUAAUGCCCGAUAGAACAUUAUACCUGGAAUGGUUUAUGUUCCAAAUGAUUUAUCGCCGUAGGAUGGGACUGCGGCCUAUCAGUUUGUUGGUGAGGUAAUGGCCCACCAAGACUAUUACAGGUACGGGCUCUGAGAGGAGUAGCCCGGAGAUGGGUACUGAGACACGGACCCAGGCCCUAUGGGGCGCAGCAGGCGAGAAAACUUUGCAAUGUGCGAAAGCACGACAAGGUUAAUCCGAGUGAUUUCUGCUAAAGAGAUCUUUUGUUGGUCCUAGAACCACUAACGAAUAAGGGGUGGGCAAGUUCUGGUGUCAGCCGCCGCGGUAAAACCAGCACCUCAAGUGGUCAGGAUGAUUAUUGGGCCUAAAGCAUCCGUAGCCGGCUCUGUAAGUUUUCGGUUAAAUCUGUACGCUUAACGUACAGGCUGCCGGGAAUACUGUAGAGCUAGGGAGUGGGAGAGGUAGACGGUACUCGAUAGGAAGUGGUAAAAUGCUUUGAUCUAUCGAUGACCACCUGUGGCGAAGGCGGUCUACCAGAACACGUCCGACGGUGAGGGAUGAAAGCUGGGGGAGCAAACCGGAUUAGAUACCCGGGUAGUCCCAGCUGUAAACUAUGCAAACUCAGUGAUGCAUUGGCUUGUGGCCAAUGCAGUGCUGCAGGGAAGCCGUUAAGUUUGCCGCCUGGGAAGUACGUACGCAAGUAUGAAACUUAAAGGAAUUGGCGGGGGAGCACCACAAGGGGUGAAGCCUGCGGUUCAAUUGG
This 901-nucleotide ribosomal RNA is filed under the name uncultured archaeon. Its description in RNAcentral is "bacterial SSU rRNA". It matches the Rfam family "Archaeal small subunit ribosomal RNA", at positions 1 to 909 of the family's 1478-position model. The record is from RNAcentral.